UGUUUGGGGAAAGGCUUGGGAAGGAGGAGAAGCCCAUCGUGGGCUGAACCAGGCCAACGUUAGGCCUUGUCCAGCCCAGUUGAGCAGUACCCUUUGUAGGCCCAACUUAGGCCCAUUUCAGACCCAAAAUCCGAAACUCAGUUCAGACUCGAAACUCGAAAUCCGAAAUCCAGUUCAGACCCAAAAUUCGAAGCCCGGAAUCCGAAACCCGAAACUUGAAUUUGUUUGGCCAAUAGAAAAAAGAAGAAUUUUACAGUUAAGCCCUUGACAGUAUAUUAUUUCACAAAAAGGAUCUUCUGUAAUUAAUGUUUGAUCUCUGUAGAAAGUUUUAUUACAUAAAGAUCCUCAAAUAUAUUAUUUGGUCCUUUACUCAAGUUUUAUUACGGAACAGUACUCUGUAAUUAGGUGUUAGUCCCUACAAUGAAUUUUUAUUGUAUAAAUGAAUCAAUUAGAAACCAACUUUGGAGGCCCUAUUGGACCAGAUCUAUGUAGGCCCAUUGGGCCGUAUCCGUUGUGGGCCCUACCGGGUCAUGCCCAUUAUGGGCCAACUUUGGGUCCUAUUGGGCCGUGUCCAAUAGUAUUAUUUUUAGUUUUUGCUUAGCUCUGAAAUUAACAAAUAAAUUAAUUAAAUUUAAACAGGUGAACCUGAUCCACCUACCUGAAGUAGGAGUUAAGCGA
This 678-nucleotide long non-coding RNA is filed under the name Phoenix dactylifera (date palm). RNAcentral describes it as "long non-coding RNA (PDAC_LNC017221)". The record is from RNAcentral. Lineage: Eukaryota; Viridiplantae; Streptophyta; Magnoliopsida; Arecales; Arecaceae.